AAGUCGUAACAAGGUCUCCGUUGGUGAACCAGCGGAGGGAUCAUUACUGAGUAUCUUACUCUCUACCCUUUGUGAACUAUUUCUGUUUUCGAACCCGACGAUACUUCUGAGUGUUCUUAGCGAACUGUCAAAACUUUUAACAACGGAUCUCUUGGCUCCA
RNAcentral lists this unclassified non-coding RNA (160 nucleotides) under Plectosphaerella cucumerina. RNAcentral describes it as "partial internal transcribed spacer region". The stretch from base 1 to 46 matches the Rfam family "Eukaryotic small subunit ribosomal RNA", at positions 1786 to 1831 of the family's 1831-position model. The record is from RNAcentral. Lineage: Eukaryota; Fungi; Ascomycota; Sordariomycetes; Glomerellales; Plectosphaerellaceae.